UAAAUAAGUAAAUAUUAUACAAAACAAGAAGCCUGUCUCCAAUUCGCACUAUAUAUAAUCACUUUGUUCAAAAAUGGUUUGAGGUCAUAAGUCGACCUUCCAAAGCGUUCGAAGUAUUCCGGAACUAAAGGAAUCAGGUCUGGAGUCUUUCGGAAGCAUAGGAAUAGUACUGGAAACUCUUGAAGGUGGUGGAACAGUAGCCACGCGCCACCUUAACUCCGGCGGUGGGUUCACGCGCCGCCGCGGGUAAAACCUCGUGGCUCUCGGGCGGAUUUGGUUGCAGCUGGUGUUGCUAUUGGCCAAGAGGGAGAAGGAGAAGAGUUUGAAUUGAUCUUAGUGUGGUGAUCGGUGGGGGUUGACAGAUCGAAAAGAAGAGGAAACCGUAAAGGGGAGAAACCAAAAGAAAGAGGGAGAGGGAUUCUGGUUUUGGCU
This 432-nucleotide long non-coding RNA is filed under the name Populus tremula. RNAcentral's name for it is "long non-coding RNA (PTRE_LNC003404)". The record is from RNAcentral. Lineage: Eukaryota; Viridiplantae; Streptophyta; Magnoliopsida; Malpighiales; Salicaceae.